CCCCGACGUGCACACCCGAGGACCUAAGACACGGCUCCUACACCUGCCGCGUGCGACACCCCCGCACGGAAAUCCCGCUCCUCGGCUGACCUGGUGACACAGGCCGUCACCCCUACCCCCACUUCCCCCCCUCCACCCCACUCUCUGCGUUGCUUCCGUGAGGUCAGCACUCACCUUCCCUGCAGGGAUGAAAAGGGCAAUUCGCGCCUCCCGCCAGCCAAGGAGUCUGCCCUUUCUUCCCCCACGCCGGGCGCUUAGAGAAGAGGAAGGACAGCAAGCUUGCUUUUGCUUUACCCUUACCUUAUAAAGCACCGCUCUCGUGGUUCUGACUCAGAAGACCCCGGGGGCCCAAUAAGCCAGGCCUGAGCAGCAAGCAAGCGAGGCCCGAGCAACAAGCGAGUGAACGACCAACUUGGAGUGGGAAGAGACCAGACUUAAAGCACUGAACAGGAAUUCUGAAACCUAAGAAGUCAAUGUUAAGGCUAGUUUCCCUAACUUACAAGGCUGGACAAUACUCUUCACCAUUUCAUGUGGCCCAGAUAGCUGGAACAGCUCCAGUCACCAGACCUCACACCAAUGUCGCAAGCAAGAAGGAAAAGCAGAGCUGCUCUUUCCAGAGCUCAGCACGACACUGAGGAACUCCUGGGCAGCCAGAACUUUCACUCUUGGAAAGCCACGUCCUUCCUGAUGGCAGCCUGCCAGGCUGGUUCAGCAGCUUCCGCGGCUUCCCAGCUGCCCACAACUCUGUUCCAAGCCGGGCAGCCCCACGCCUUCCCAGUGCUCCUCUCCCUGCCCUGCCUGCGACUGCAGCCCGGGGGGCGAUUCACUGCGCUGCAAGGAGCCACAACAACUCUUUUGGCAUAUUUCUUGUUGCUUAUCCCUCUAGGGGCCUGGGGGCCGGGGCGGGGGGGCGUUAAACUGGCACAGGUAAAAAUGAGAGUUUUGUUUUACAAGCAUCUUUGUAGGAUGCAGGAUUUCUGUCUUCCGAGGGACCUCCCUUGACACAAAAUCCUUAAAACACCAACCAAGGAAACAACAGUGUGUAAUUUUAUGAAUCCCUCAAACGCAUAUAAUAAAAGAUUGGGAACAGGUGACCUUUGCCACCUAAAGCAAGAAUAAUCUUCAUGACUCAGAGGACUACCUCAUCCCAAUCCUGACCCUGGAUCCUCAGUGAUCAGAAACCCCAAUCCACAUCAAUUGCGCAGCACUGGAAAAUGGGAGAAAGGAGAAGAGUAUCACCCAUGACCUGGAUUAGGAAGAUCUUAAGCCACCUUGCUUCUCUGAUUUCAGGAUGGCUACUGCUGCAUGAGCUGCCCGCAAUAGCAAAAGUAUUUGAAAAACUAUCCCUUUAAGGUACAAUUGAU
Molecule: long non-coding RNA, 1364 nt
Organism: Zalophus californianus (California sea lion)
Lineage: Eukaryota; Metazoa; Chordata; Mammalia; Carnivora; Otariidae
Exons: 4
Source: RefSeq, a predicted model, not a curated record